UACUACUGUCUAGACACAUCCUCAAAUGAAAAAGUCAUGUGACAUGAAGUGUGACAGUGACACACCAGCAGGAACCAGGCUGUAGUACGUACGCCAAGUGAUGCUGUAGGACAGCUAACAUCUUCACUGGCUCUUGAAUCAACUGAGCUUCCCUCUUGCUCUCCAUCUUUAACUUCUCACAGCUUAGUUGUUGACAUUACAGGUCCGUGUUUCUUCAGUGUGUAUAGUGCUCCACUUUUAAGUCCCAGAGCACUUCCCUUUCUCAUUGUCUCUGUGUUGAGUGGGGAUGGUAGAGUAGGAGGAGCUCUAGACAUCUGUGUUAAGUGGGGAUGAUAGAGUAGGAGGAACUCUAGACUUCUCUGUAUUGAGUGGGGAUGAUAGAGUAGGAGGAGCUCUAGACUUCUGUGUUGAUGGGGAUGAUAGAGUAGGAGGAGCUCUAGACUUCUCUGUAUUGAGUGGGGAUGAUAGAGUAGGAGGAGCUCUAAUUUGUGUUGAGUGGGGAUGAUAGAGUAGGAGGAGCUCUAGACAUCUGUGUUAAGUGGGGAUGAUAGAGUAGGAGGAGCUCUAGACUUCUCUGUAUUGAGUGGGGAUGAUAGAGUAGGAGGAGCUCUAGACAUCUGUGUUGAGUGGGGAUGAUAGAGUAGGAGGAGCUCUAAACUACUCACUAGAAAGUUUGGGUUCUAGUUCAGGAUCUGACAUAUGUAGCUACCAUUAAGUCCCAAGGGGCUCAUUUUUCUCAGUUGUAAAAGUAAUGGCUUAUAUAGCACAGUACCCAAAGUCCCUUUCAGUUCUCAUAGAUCUCAUGGUAGUUGAGAAUAUAAAAAUCAAAUAACAGGAUUUAAGUUUAACUCUACAACUUAUUGACUAUAUCACCUUGGGAGAGUCACUGUUUCUAUGGCUGAAAUUUCUUUGUUUUCAGCUGAGGAUUAUAGUAGUUCUUUGUUCAUAGAUUAUUGUGAGGCAUAAUCAAGAAACACAUAGUAUGUGGGAAAUUCCUAAUACAGUGGAUAUGUAGUAGUACAUGGUAAGAACUCAGUGAGUAUUUGUUUCUGUUUGUCCCAGAAAGACAUCAUAUUAAAAAAUGAUACAAGCAGGUUAGGGAUUUAGUUCAGUGGUAGAGCGCUUGCCUAGCAAGUGCAAGGCCCUGGGUUUGAUCCUCAGCUCAAAAAAAAAAAAAAAAAAAAAAAAAACAGUAAAAAGAAAAAAAUGAUACGAGCUUUAUUUUGUAAAUGAGAAAACUUGAUUUCACAAGUGUAUCAAAGGGAGAAGUUCUGGGUCAACACGAUGGCUCAGCAGGUAAAUGCACUUGCCACCAAGCCUGACAAUGUCAUUUAAUUCCUGGAAUCCACAUAGUGGAGGAGAGAACGGACUCUCACAAGUUUUCCUCUGAUUUCCAUACACGGCUGUAUCUGUAUAUAAGCACACACAUACACAAAAUCAAUCCCUCAGUAAAUGUGCUAUACAACUCUUAAGGGGAAAAAACCCAACUUUAAAUAAAAAUAAUAUUUAAGAAGACACCUUUUUUUUGCCAGGCAGUGGUGGCACACACCUUUAAUCCCAGCACUCAGGAGGCAGAGUCAGGUGGAUCUCUGUGAGUUCGAGGUCAGCCUGGUCUACAGAGUGAGUUCCAGGACAGCCAUAGCUGUUACACAGGAAAACCCUGUCUUGAAAAACUAAGAGAAGAGACCUUUUUGAGAUGCUCUCCAGUCUGUCUUGGCAUUUCUGUUGCUGUGGUAAAACAUCACAAUUGAAAGCAACUUGAGAAGGGAAGGGUUUAUUUCACCUUAGUUUAUAGUCCAUCAGUGAGGUAAGCCAGGGCAGGAAAUCAGGUAGGGACCUGGAGGUAGGACCUGGAACAGAAGCCAUGGAGUUGGGAUACUUACUGGCUUGCUCAGCCUGCUUUCUUAUGCACUCCAGAACCCCUUCCCUAGGGGUGGCACCAUCCCCAGUGGGCUGAGCCCUCCCACAUCAAACACUAAGGAAGUGGCACACAGAUGUGUCUGUAGGCAAAUCUGUGGGGGCAUUUUCUCAGUAAUGGCUUCUUCCCAAGUGACUAGCCUGUGUGAAAUUGAUAUGAAAACUGACAGGCACAGAGUCUUUAGAAAAGACUUGAACUCUGUGUCCUUAACAUAUGAAAAGGUAGGCACAUUAAGUGAGGUGAUAGUCCUAAAAACCAGGUUCAAGAGUUGGAGCCCGAGUUGGAUUUUGAGCACUAGCAAGAAAAUACAAUUCCAUUUUCAGGUGUUGAGACUAUGAGAGCUUAGAAAGUUUGUUUCUGUUUGCCUACCAGCUUACUGAUGUCAGCAAAACACAUGAUUUACAGAGCCUUGAAGAAUGUAACCCUGCCUGAGGAAGAAGAUAAAUACCAAAGUGUACAAUCGGGGAGAGUAGUGCUGUCUGUUUGUUAAGCAUCACAUAGGGCCUCACCUUUUCCUUCAGAAUGAAAGUCAAUAGAAUCGUUACUUUGUUACUUUAAGAUGCUUUCUAAGUAUAGUCCCCAGGUUCUGCGCAGGCCAGGUUUCUGUGGAUGAAAUGACUGUGUCCAUCAAAGGAUCUCAGUUACACAUCUCUUGUUUUUGUGAUGGUAGGAAAGUGGGUAAUGGCUCUAGGUGGUAUAAAAAAAUGACGCUGUUUGAAAAGUGCUCUAAGCAGCUAUCAUCAGUAUUGGCUGGCAUGGACAGUGGUUAGCUAGCCAUCAGUGGUACCAUCAGAUGAUAUGCAAGUUGGGGACAUCAGGCAGGCCUGUGGUUUAAUACAGUUUCUUGGGCUUUGGUUUACCAAAUGCAGUUAUUCUUUCAAUGCUGACUCAACAAGUUGCCUACUGAUUGACAAAUGAGAAUAA
This is a non-coding RNA of Peromyscus maniculatus bairdii (prairie deer mouse), 2842 nucleotides long. NCBI's taxonomy places the organism in Eukaryota, Metazoa, Chordata, Mammalia, Rodentia, Cricetidae. The record is from RefSeq and is a predicted model, not a curated record.